Oryza sativa Japonica Group (Japanese rice) is the source of this 2890-nucleotide non-coding RNA. NCBI's taxonomy places the organism in Eukaryota, Viridiplantae, Streptophyta, Magnoliopsida, Poales, Poaceae. The record is from RefSeq and is a predicted model, not a curated record.
GUUUUAAACUGUGACAAAAUUUGAUCGGAUUUUGUCGGAAUUCCGUUCGACACCGUGCGCAUCCGCGGCGAAGUCCGUCAAACACUAAACCCUAGAAAUCGCGGCGACGCGCGGCGGAGGUGAGCGAUUCCAUCGAUCGAUCGAGGCCAUGUCCAUGUUCCUCCGGGCCCUUGCUCCCCUCCUCACCCGGAGGUUCUCCGCACGCAGCGCGCAGGCGCAGCGAUCGGCGGCGGCGGCGACGGCGGGGAGUAGUCCAGCACCACGCUCUCCCGUUUCCCCCAGAUCUCAGAUCAAAAUUUUCUUCACUCGCGCGCAGCGGCUCACGCUCCCGUCCAUCUCCGCGCAGAGGGAUCUCGGCGUCGGCCGUGGCGCAGUGAAAGGUGUUCUUGCCUUGACGAGUUCGUUGGCUGGAUUGCUGCUCGGAUUCCUCUAUUUCAAGCAAGAUAGAGAUGACUCAGCAGCCGGGGAGGAGACCAGGAAGGAGGAGGAGGAGGUGACUGUUAAUUGGAGGGACGUGAUCGAGCCAUCCGUCAUGGCAAGGUUCACCAGGAAAGAUGGCACAUUUGCCUAUCUUGACUACAUCGAUUACCUCAACUCCCAAAUGAACCAUGGGGGGAAACCACUCUAUGACAAGAAGUGUUCCGACAAGGAGGAGGCCGUCGUCGAUGAUGCCGCCGAGGAGGACAAUGUGGUGGAUGAGGUGACCAUGAAGGCAAAAUUUGAGGACUGGGGAUGAGCGAGCACGGCCGGAGAUACAGAACCGAGGAGGAGAAGGCUCAUCGGUAUGAGAAUUUCAAGAAGGUUGUCAAGGCCCUUGACAAGUUCAACGCCGAGCGCGGAACGCGAAGCUCUUUACUUGCCCCUUUAGCCCCUAACGAACUCGCGGACUACAGCCAAGAAGAGUUGGACGGACUGGGUACUCUGGCUGAUGAAUCACACUGGGAGGGGUAUCUCGAUCACGUCCACACUAUGAUUGCUCGGGGUAACGAUAUUCGCCAUAAUGAGAAUGCCUGCGAGGCCGUGAAGAAGGUACUCAAUGUCUAUCCCUAAUUAUCUGCGCAAGUAUUGUUGUUCAUUCAGUAUGGCCACUAGAAGGAGUAUCAGAUCUUGUUUAAUUUGGAAGCCUGCAAUCAUAUAUUUAUCUAUAAGUUCGCAUGAUAUAUGCCGCUUUAUAAUUAGCGAAUUGGCUUUUCGAUUUCCAAUUGAUGAAAGUUGUUCUAGUUUGAUAUGAUCUCUCCUGGCUAGUCGUAAGCCAUUGCACAGCAGUCGUAGCAAAGUAGAAACUGCACCGUAGGAGCACUGUAGGCAAUGUUAUCUGCUCUUUUCUUCAGUCUAAUUAGUUAUCAGUUGCUCUAUUAGCCAUUUGGAACUGGCAGCUAACAAUUCUUUCUUCGCACAUAUCUCUUUGUUUUUUUUCUAGCUGUCUUCCUAAAAUUAUUUGUGCAAUCCUUUUUUUAUACAAAUAUAUAAGCACUGACUCUUUAGUUUCAAAAAGAGAAAUACAAAGUAACUCCAGAAAUGUGCAUUGCAAUACUGUGUGACACUAUCUGUUCUUGUUAGUUAUUAUUUGUUGUUCUUGUUUAAUAUUAACUGCAUAUGAUAAAAAGAAAAGCUGUAUCAUGCAUGAACAUUAAAACCCUGAGUGUUUAAUGCUUUAGCAUUAGCUUCAAGAUGCAUUUUUCAAGGAAACUGUGAGAUGCAUUAAUUUUACCUCUGUGUAACUAGUACAUAUGAAAAAUACUUUUGCUGUUUGGAUUUUGCUUCACUCAGUCACUCUUUGUAGUACCAUAGUCUAAUCCUAAACCGAACUCGCUGAAGCUUAGCUCCAAUGCAAGUGGUAUAAGAUAGGAGGAUUUUUACAGUCCAACGGUACCUUGCGGUACCGAUUAUUGACCGUUGGAUCGAGGCAGAUCGAACGGCUGGCGUAGAUCGGUACCGCGGGGUACCAGUUUUGUCCCCGAAGCGGUACCGAGUGAUGAUAAUCGGUGGAAGGGCAGUAUUGUAAUUUCGCGUGCAAUAGAUGGGUCUGGAUCGAGAUCGAGCGGCUUGAACCCUAGCGAAGCUGGAUGAUUUUCGCCGCUGCCGCCGUGUUCCUCUUCCUCGCCACCACCGCCGUGUUCCUCUUCCGCCGCCGGACUUGUUCCUCUUCCGCCGCCGGACUUGUUUCCUCUCCCGCGCCGCCGCCGUUCCCUUUUUUCUCUCUCGCGCCGCCGCCAGACUUUAUCCUCUCCCGCGCUGCCAGCGUUCCCUUGUUGCUCUGCGCCGCCGCCGGGAAUGACAAUGACUUGGACGCCGCCGCCGCCGGGAACGACGACUCGAAACAGAGGAGAAGGGAACUAUUCUCAAUGCGUGACAAAGCAAUGCGUCAAGCCGAGUUGCAGACAAAAAGCAGCUAGUCAGAAAGAAAGAAAGAGCAAAAGCAUCGCGUCUCUUGACGCCGCCGCACCCGAGCAGAGCGUAUUCGAUCACCACCCGCGCCAAGAGCGCUUGUCGAUCCGAUCCGGUGCAGGACAACUUCUUCCAUCAUCCCGGCUGAGGAUGCUUGCUUUGCUGAGCUAAUUGCAUGCAAGAGAGCAAUUGAAACAGGCCAAGGAAGUCAGAGUGUUACCUAGGGACAGUCGGACAGACAGACAAUCCAGAUGUAGUGAGAAUGCUUGAGGGGAGGGAUCUCAACAGAUCAGCUUAUGGAGCCUUAGCACAAGAUAUCAAAGCGAAACUCCUCUUACUUCAGGAGGUAAAGGUUGGCUGGGUCCGACAAAUCAGGCGUCGCAUAAGUUAGCGCAGAAUAGAAUUUUUUUACCAGUGCUUGGUUUAAUGUAUGUAACCCCUCAUUCUUAGAGGCGGCUUUUUUCCCCUUAUUAAAUCCAGGGAACUUCAUUUUCCCCCCUUA